This 2417-nucleotide ribosomal RNA is filed under the name human gut metagenome. RNAcentral describes it as "bacterial LSU rRNA". It matches the Rfam family "Bacterial large subunit ribosomal RNA", at positions 1 to 2438 of the family's 2925-position model. The record is from RNAcentral.
GAAAGUAAAAAAGGGCGCAUGGCGGAUGCCUUGGCUCUCGGAGGCGAUGAAGGACGUGAUAAGCUGCGAUAAGCUUUGGGGAGGUGCAAAUGACCUUUGAUCCAGAGAUUUCCGAAUGGGACAACCCAAUAUCUUGAAGAGGUAUUAUCUUACUAUGUAAGAGGCUAACGCAGGGAACUGAAACAUCUUAGUACCUGCAGGAAAAGAAAAUAAACAAUGAUUCCCCCAGUAGUGGCGAGCGAACGGGGAACAGCCCAAACCAUCCAUGUUACGGCAUGGGUGGGGUUGUAGGACUACGCCGUUGCAUGAAGACAUCAGAGAAGAACUUUCUGGAAAGAAAGACCAUAGAGCAUGACAGUUGCGUAUUCGAAUGUUGUCGAAGCAUAGUAGUAUCCUGAGUAGCGCGGAGCACGAGGAAUUCUGCGUGAAUCUGCCGGGACCAUCCGGUAAGGCUAAAUACUCCCGAGAGACCGAUAGCGAACCAGUACCGUGAGGGAAAGGUGAAAAGCACUUCGAACAGAAGAGUGAAAUAGUUCCUGAAACCGUGCGCCUACAAGCGGUCGGAGCUCGUUAAUGAGUGACGGCGUGCCUUUUGCAUAAUGAACCUACGAGUUGCCUUUGCCGGCAAGGUUAAGUGUGACGACACACGUAUCCGAAGCGAAAGCGAGUCUGAACAGGGCGUAUAGUCGGCAGUGGCAGACGCGAAACCAAGUGAUCUACCCUUGGCCAGGUUGAAGGCUGGGUAACACCAGCUGGAGGACCGCACCAAUAAGCGUUGAAAAGCUUCUGGAUGAGCUGAGGGUAGGGGUGAAAGGCUAAUCAAACUUGGAGAUAGCUCGUACUCCCCGAAAUGCAUUUAGGUGCAGCCUUGCGGGUUACUGAUGUGAGGUAGAGCGACUGAUAAGAUGCGAGGGCUUCACCGCCUAUCAAGUCUUGACAAACUCCGAAUGCGCAUCAGUUCUACCGCAGGAGUGAGGGCAUGGGUGCUAAGGUCCGUGCCCGAGAGGAGAAGAAUCCGGACCACCUGCUAAGGUCCCGAAAUGACAGCUAAGUUAAACUAACGAAGUCUGACUGCUAAGACAGCUAGGAUGUUGGCUUGGAAGCAGCCAUUCAUUUAAAGAGUGCGUAACAGCUCACUAGUCGAGGAGUCGGGCGUGGAUAAUAAUCGGGUAUCAAGUUGUCUACCGAAGCAGUGGGAUCAUUGAUAUGAUCGGUAGGGGAGCAUUCCAGUCAGCGUCGAAGGCGUACCGUGAGGUAUUCUGGAGCGUCUGGAAAAGCAAAUGUAGGUAUAAGUAACGAUAAAGGGGGCGGGAAACCCCCUCGCCGAAAGACUAAGGUUUCCUGAUCAACGCUAAUCGGAUCAGGGUCAGUCGGGUCCUAAGGCUCAGCCGAACGGCGAUGCCGAUGGCAGAAACGGUUAAUAUUCCGUUACUACCUUCAGGAGUGACGUGGAGACGCAGUAGUGACAGUGCCGCCAUCUGACGGAAUAGAUGGUUGAAGGGUGUAGGAGUCGAUCAUGGCAGGCAAAUCCACCAUGAGAUCCGAACCUGACAGUAUGCCGCGUCCUUCGGGACAAGGCAAUAGUGCGCGUAAGCAUGCUGCCGAGAAAAUCCGCUAAACUUAAUCCUGCAGGUACCCGUACCGCAAACGGACACACGUAGUCGGGAUGAAUAUUCUAAGGCGCUUGAGUGAUUCACGGUUAAGGAACUAGGCAAACUGACCCUGUAACUUCGGGAUAAAGGGUCCCUACCCUUUUAUGGGAGGGCGCAGAGAAUCGGUCCAGGCAACUGUUUAACAAAAACACAGGGCUGUGCCAAAUCGAAAGAUCCAGUAUACAGCCUGACACCUGCCCGGUGCUGGAAGGUUAAGAGGAGAUGUCAUCGAUAAGAGAAGCGUUGAAUUGAAGCCCCAGUAAACGGCGGCCGUAACUAUAACGGUCCUAAGGUAGCGAAAUUCCUUGUCGGGUAAGUUCCGACCUGCACGAAUGGUGUAAUGAUCUGGACGCUGUCUCAACCGUGAGCUCAGUGAAAUUGUAGUAUCGGUGAAGAUGCCGAUUACCCGCGAUGGGACGAAAAGACCCCGUGAACCUUUACUAUAGCUUAUCAUUGAAUCUGGGCACGUGAUGUGUAGGAUAGGUCGGAGGCUUUGAAGCAGGUACGCCAGUAUUUGUGGAGCCGCUGUUGAAAUACGACCCUUUAUUUGUUUGGAUUCUAACCCGUGGAUACGGGGACAUUGAUUGGUGGGUAGUUUGACUGGGGUGGUCGCCUCCAAAAGCGUAACGGAGGCUUCUAAAGGUGCCCUCCGGCCGAUUGGUAACCGGCCUUAGAGUGUAAUGGCAUAAGGGCGCUUGACUGGGAGACUGACAAGUCGAUCAGGUAGGAAACUAGAGCAUAGUGAUCCGGUGUUUCCGUAUGGAA